This 262-nucleotide long non-coding RNA is filed under the name Trifolium pratense (red clover). RNAcentral's name for it is "long non-coding RNA (TPRA_LNC006703)". Lineage: Eukaryota; Viridiplantae; Streptophyta; Magnoliopsida; Fabales; Fabaceae. The record is from RNAcentral.
UAAUUAUCCCAUGCAUGAAUUGCUAACUAAAUUAAUUAAUUAAUUUAUAUCACAUGGUUUGGCUUUAUGAUGAAGACUUGAGAUUUUAAAGUGUAUUUCUCUAAAAGUUUCAGGUUCGAAUACAUUUGGCUAUUUUUUUUAGUUUAUUUUGUUGGUGGAUUUGUUUUGAUUGUUGGGGAAACAAAAAAUAUUUUGAGAAUAAUUAAUUUAAGAAAAUAUGGAUUGUAUGUCUUAUGAAACCUUCUUUGGUUUUAUUCCUAAU